RNAcentral lists this long non-coding RNA (281 nucleotides) under Phoenix dactylifera (date palm). Its description in RNAcentral is "long non-coding RNA (PDAC_LNC013313)". Lineage: Eukaryota; Viridiplantae; Streptophyta; Magnoliopsida; Arecales; Arecaceae. The record is from RNAcentral.
AUAUAGUGAUUUGUUUACAUUUGAUUAUAUUGCAUUCUUUAAAAUGGGUAUAUACUUUGAUUUGGGAUGGGUCAGUGAGAAAAAGAGGGUGCUGAAACUAAAUCAUCCUAGUGAUGAUAGAGAGGGAUUUGAGGGAUUUGUUUGUCUGUUUAUGAUCAAUACUCUUCACUCGGGAGUAAUAGUACUUUGAAGGAAGCAAACAUCAGAUUGUCUGGCAAUAUAGUGAUUUGUUUACAUUUGAUUAUAUUGCAUUCUUUAAAAUGGGUAUAUACUUUGAUUUG